GAUGAACGCUGGCGGCGUGCUUAACACAUGCAAGUCGAACGAAGCACUUUACCUGAUUUCCUUCGGGGAUGAUUGUUCUGUGACUGAGUGGCGGACGGGUGAGUAACGCGUGGAUAACCUGCCUCACACAGGGGGAUAACAGUUGGAAACGACUGCUAAUACCGCAUAAGCGCACGGCACCGCAUGGUGCAGUGUGAAAAACUCCGGUGGUGUGAGAUGGAUCCGCGUCUGAUUAGCUUGUUGGCGGGGUAACGGCCCACCAAGGCGACGAUCAGUAGCCGGCCUGAGAGGGCGACCGGCCACAUUGGGACUGAGACACGGCCCAGACUCCUACGGGAGGCAGCAGUGGGGAAUAUUGCACAAUGGGGGAAACCCUGAUGCAGCGACGCCGCGUGAGCGAUGAAGUAUUUCGGUAUGUAAAGCUCUAUCAGCAGGGAAGAUAAU
RNAcentral lists this ribosomal RNA (444 nucleotides) under uncultured bacterium. RNAcentral's name for it is "bacterial SSU rRNA". It matches the Rfam family "Bacterial small subunit ribosomal RNA", at positions 28 to 452 of the family's 1533-position model. The record is from RNAcentral.